RNAcentral lists this ribosomal RNA (367 nucleotides) under uncultured Sphingobacteriales bacterium. Its description in RNAcentral is "bacterial SSU rRNA". It matches the Rfam family "Bacterial small subunit ribosomal RNA", at positions 1018 to 1382 of the family's 1533-position model. Lineage: Bacteria; Pseudomonadati; Bacteroidota; Sphingobacteriia; Sphingobacteriales. The record is from RNAcentral.
UUCGGGAAGCGAGCGUACACAGGUGCUGCAUGGCUGUCGUCAGCUCGUGUCGUGAGAUGUUGGGUUAAGUCCCAUAACGAGCGCAACCCCUACCUUUAGUUGCCAUCAGGUUAAGCUGGGGACUCUAAAGGAACUGCCUACGCAAGUAGUGAGGAAGGCGGGGAUGACGUCAAAUCAGCACGGCCCUUACGUCCAGGGCUACACACGUGCUACAAUGGCCGAUACAGAGGGCAGCUACCUGGUGACAGGAUGCAAAUCUCCAAAGUCGGUCUCAGUUCGGAUCGGAGUCUGCAACCCGACUCCGUGAAGUUGGAUUCGCUAGUAAUCGCGCAUCAGCCAUGGCGCGGUGAAUACGUUCCCGGGCCUU